AGAGUUUGAUCCUGGCUCAGAAUCAACGCUGGCGGCGUGCCUAACACAUGCAAGUCGAACGCGAAAGUCCCGAAAGGGAUUAGUAGAGUGGCAAACGGGUGAGUAACGCGUGGGUGACCUGCCUUCGAGCGGGGGAUAACGUCCCGAAAGGGACGCUAAUACCGCAUAACAUCCUGUCUUUUAACAGGUGGAGAUCAAAGCUGGGGAUCGCAAGACCUAGCACUCGAAGAGGGGCCCGCGUCUGAUUAGCUAGUUGGUGAGGUAACGGCUCACCAAGGCGACGAUCAGUAUCCGGCCUGAGAGGGCGGACGGACACACUGGGACUGAGACACGGCCCAGACUCCUACGGGAGGCAGCAGUGGGGAAUUGUUCGCAAUGGGCGCAAGCCUGACGACGCAACGCCGCGUGGAGGAUGAAGACCUUCGGGUCGUAAACUCCUUUCGAUCGAGACGAAUGGCCUCCGGGUGAAUAAUCCGGAGGUUUGACGGUACCGAGAGAAGAAGCCCCGGCUAACUCCGUGCCAGCAGCCGCGGUAAUAC
This 539-nucleotide ribosomal RNA is filed under the name uncultured bacterium. Its description in RNAcentral is "bacterial SSU rRNA". It matches the Rfam family "Bacterial small subunit ribosomal RNA", at positions 8 to 526 of the family's 1533-position model. The record is from RNAcentral.